GUGAGGAAUAUUGCGCAAUGGAGGAAACUCUGAUGCAGCAACGCCGCGUGGAGGAUGACGCAUUUCGGUGUGUAAACUCCUUUUAAGAGGGAAGAUUAUGACGGUACCUCUUGAAUAAGCACCGGCUAACUCCGUGCCAGCAGCCGCGGUAAUACGGAGGGUGCAAGCGUUACUCGGAAUCACUGGGCGUAAAGGACGCGUAGGCGGGUUGAAAAGUCAGGUGUGAAAGCCUACAGCUUAACUGUAGAACUGCACUUGAAACUCUCAAUCUAGAGUAUGGGAGGGGGAGAUGGAAUUAGUGGUGUAGGGGUAAAAUCCGUAGAUAUCACUAGGAAUACCUAAAGCGAAGGCGAUCUCCUGGAACAUAACUGACGCUAAGGCGUGAAAGCGUGGGGAGCAAACAGGAUUAGAAACCCCGGUAGUCC
This 425-nucleotide ribosomal RNA is filed under the name uncultured bacterium. RNAcentral describes it as "bacterial SSU rRNA". It matches the Rfam family "Bacterial small subunit ribosomal RNA", at positions 354 to 796 of the family's 1533-position model. The record is from RNAcentral.